Molecule: non-coding RNA, 108 nt
Organism: Aspergillus tanneri
Lineage: Eukaryota; Fungi; Ascomycota; Eurotiomycetes; Eurotiales; Aspergillaceae
Source: the annotation of a RefSeq genome assembly
GUCUCCAUGGUCUAGUUGGUUUUAUGACGGCGGUCUCAUAUUAGUACAUGACAGCUCAACAAAGAGUUGGUUAUCCGCAGGUCACGAGUUCGAUUCUCGUUGGAGGCA